AAAUCGUACUGCGGGGGUUGAAGAUGAAGAACAAACCCCAGCCCACCGUCACCGAACAACGACUCUUCACUACACACACGCAGAGAAAGCCGCGACACCAUGGCCCAUGUUCCCUAAUUUUGAUCCCUUUCUUUAGCCUACCGCUACCACCAACAAGCACAGACUAUUCGCUCGUCAAAACCCGUAGCCCCGUCGCCGGCAACUGAUGUCAAAGAUUGAUUGCUUUAUCCCUACUGCCUCUUCGCCGGUUCAUUCUUUUAGUUUUGGUUUUUCCUUGGAGACCGCGUAGUGUUGAAGGCUUGAAGCAGCUAUCUUGAUGGUUGAUGGAGAUCAAGAAGAUUGGAUUUACUCUACAAAUUGAUCCAGAUUGGAUUUUACUUUGGGAGUAGGUUUUACUCUAGUGAUGAGUUCAGAUUGGAUUCCAAAUGUCUGAUUGAUCCUAAGCAUCUCUUUGUUGGGCCAAGAAUUGGAGAAGGAGCUCAUGACGCCAAAGUGUAUGAGGGCAAAUACAAAAACCAGACUCUUGCAAUUAAAGUUCUUCAUAAAGGAGAAAGUCCAGAAGAGAUCACCAAGAGACAAGGGCGGUUUGCUAGAGAGGUUGAAGCUAAUAUGCAUGAAUUUGUAGGUCUUACUAGCUUGGCUAUCUGGGCUUCACUUGGAAUGAAUGAUACUUCAUGAUUGCUACUACUAGGAAGUACCGGCGGUGCUGCUCAAAACUAGUGGAUGUUCUUCUACAUAGAGCAUGAGGAGACCAAGCUACAGCAGGAGGGUUCUAAAGAUACUAAUGCUGCUAUGCUUAGAUGUUCUUUAUGCUUUUGGCCUUUAUGUUUAAGUGUGUGUAUAUAUAGGCAUGGUUAAUUAGUAUGUGUUAA
Rosa chinensis is the source of this 872-nucleotide long non-coding RNA. RefSeq lists it as uncharacterized. Lineage: Eukaryota; Viridiplantae; Streptophyta; Magnoliopsida; Rosales; Rosaceae. The record is from RefSeq and is a predicted model, not a curated record. The transcript has 4 exons.